This 253-nucleotide ribosomal RNA is filed under the name uncultured bacterium. RNAcentral's name for it is "partial 16S ribosomal RNA". It matches the Rfam family "Bacterial small subunit ribosomal RNA", at positions 524 to 776 of the family's 1533-position model. The record is from RNAcentral.
UACGUAGGGGGCAAGCGUUGUCCGGAAUCAUUGGGCGUAAAGAGCGUGUAGGCGGUCCGGUAAGUCCGCUGUGAAAGUCGGGGGCUCAACCCUCGAAUGCCGGUGGAUACUGUCGGGCUAGAGUGCGGAAGAGGCGAGUGGAAUUCCUGGUGUAGCGGUGAAAUGCGCAGAUAUCAGGAGGAACACCUAUUGCGAAGGCAGCUCACUGGGACGGUACUGACGCUGAGACGCGAAAGCGUGGGGAGCAAACAGG